CUCGGGUGCGCGGGCGCGGGGGCUGCCGGGAAGGCCGCCUACAAUUUCCCCGGAAGUUUGCGGGGCUGCUUUGGGUCCUUCAGUUUGCACGCCUCUGACGCCGCCCCGACCUGGCCAGGGGUCUCAGAGCAGUAUUUAGUGGUCAAACAGGCACAAGGGGUCUCAGGGCAGUAUUUGGCAGCGGUCAAACAUGUUCGGAAGAACGCUUCUCUGCCCGCGUGGGACGUGAGGUGAGUGGUGAAGCAAAGCACUCCUUAGCAGGCAAAGUAGGCCUUUACGGCAAGUAUGGGGGGGUGCCUGCCACCAGGGACUCCUUGCAGAUAUGGCCCCGCAUCCUUCAGGACACCUUAGAAGCCAGUAGCCACUUGACCCUGACGCUGGAUCUCCACCAGCCGAUAUCUGCGAGAAGAGCUAGAGAUAACUGGGAUCUACAUCUCUCUGGGAGAAGCCCCAGCAAAUGGCUCCUGGUGCAGAAGCAGAACUACUCCACCUUCCUUGCCCCUGGUCCAGGCUGCUCUGAGGUAUGACUGCCUCCAGAAUCUUCCCUGGAAUUGAGCCUGAAUUGUCCUUCAUGGGAUUUUGUUUGACAUUGACUAUUUGUGUGGCUCCCUCCUCUUCCCUCUCUUCCACACUCUCUUAGUUAUUCCUGGCAGCAUUUCUAACAAAUCAUUUUCAUAUGAAUCCUCAUCUUAGGGUCUGCUUCUGGGGAGUUGCUCUUAAGACAGUGUUAUAGUCAUUAAUGCUGUUUUAUCAUUAUCAUUAUUAUUAUUACUCUUUGCCUUCUGGACACAAGCUAGGGUUGUAUUUCUUGAUCUCCCAUGGUUGGGUGAUAGGCCAGUUAUAAGCUCUAGUAGAGGGUAUGUGUGCUGCUUCUGGACUGAGCAUCCAACGGCCAGGAUGAAAACUUUAGAGCUCUUUUCUCUCUGUUUUGGUGACCAAGAGUGUUCCAGAUAGUGACUGCUCUGUCAUCCUGGGACCUGAAGUCAGUGUGACAAAGUGGAUCAGAGCCCCACCUCUGAUUUGUAAUCAGAGUGAGAAAUAAACAUCUGUUGUGUUAAGCCA
RNAcentral lists this long non-coding RNA (1062 nucleotides) under Felis catus (domestic cat). RNAcentral describes it as "lncRNA (ENSFCAG00000052204.1)". Lineage: Eukaryota; Metazoa; Chordata; Mammalia; Carnivora; Felidae. The record is from RNAcentral.